RNAcentral lists this ribosomal RNA (253 nucleotides) under uncultured bacterium. Its description in RNAcentral is "partial 16S ribosomal RNA". It matches the Rfam family "Bacterial small subunit ribosomal RNA", at positions 524 to 776 of the family's 1533-position model. The record is from RNAcentral.
UACGUGGGGGGCAAGCGUUGUCCGGAAUCAUUGGGCGUAAAGCGCGUGUAGGCGGUCCGGUAAGUCCGCUGUGAAAGUCGGGGGCUUAACCCUCGGAUGCCGGUGGAUACUGUCGGGCUUGAGUACGGAAGAGGCGAGUGGAAUUCCUGGUGUAGCGGUGAAAUGCGCAGAUAUCAGGAGGAACACCAAUUGCGAAGGCAGCUCGCUGGGACGUUACUGACGCUGAGACGCGAAAGCGUGGGGAGCAAACAGG